RNAcentral lists this ribosomal RNA (446 nucleotides) under uncultured bacterium. RNAcentral describes it as "bacterial SSU rRNA". It matches the Rfam family "Bacterial small subunit ribosomal RNA", at positions 29 to 462 of the family's 1533-position model. The record is from RNAcentral.
AACGAACGCUGGCGGCGCGCCUAACACAUGCAAGUCGAACGAGAAUCCGGGGCAACCCGGUAGUAAAGUGGCAAACGGGUGAGGAAUACAUGGGUAACCUACCCUUGAGAAGGGAAUAACCCGCCGAAAGGUGAGCUAAUACCCUAUACGCUAUCUUUUUUUCGAAAAGAAUAGGAAAGACCGGGUCGAGGACCUGGUACUCAAGGAGGGGCGUCAUGUCCUAUCAGCUUGUUGGUGGGGUAACGGGCCUACCAAGGCUACGACGGGUAGGCUGGUCUGAGAGGAUGAUCAGCCACACUGGCACUGAGAUACGGGCCAGACUCCUACGGGAGGCAGCAGUGAGGAAUUUUGGACAAUGGGCGCAAGCCUGAUCCAGCAAUGCCGCGUGCAGGAUGAAGGCCUCGGUUGGUAACUAGCUUUGUUACGGUAACGAAACGGACGUCUUU